This is a long non-coding RNA of Peromyscus leucopus (white-footed mouse), 1347 nucleotides long. RefSeq lists it as uncharacterized. The record is from RefSeq and is a predicted model, not a curated record. The transcript has 3 exons. Lineage: Eukaryota; Metazoa; Chordata; Mammalia; Rodentia; Cricetidae.
GCCAUUGCUGGACUAGCUGGACCACAGCCUGUAAGCCAUUCUAAUAAAUCCCCAUUCCAUAAGGUAUAUUUCUCUAGGAAACCCCAACAAAUACAAUUGAUUUUCACCAGUGGUCCAAACACACCUCCUCUCCUCCGACUAUUGAACUCUACGGCCCUGGGGUACAGGAAUCCCUUUCCAUCUGGACCCAAGAAGGCUUUGCGGGCUCUUCCGGCGACUCUUCAACUAAAGAAAAAGGCCAGUACUGACAACUCAAUAGAAUUAAUAUUUACUGAGUCCUUCUGUGAUCCUAGAGGAAUGCACAAAGGAUUUCUCCUAGCCAUGGCUAGCUAGGCAAGGGGUGAAUGUGAUCAGUCCAUGUGCUUAGCAUGAACAGAGAUGUUGGACCAAUCAGGGAGUUUGAGGCGGAAACAGGGACAGAACUGUGAACACUCAUGCUGAAAGAGCUGGAAGAGGCUCCUUGUUCUGCCAUGUGGGACCACGUGCAAGAGGAGUGGGCAGGGAGAAGAGAAGAGGAAGCCUUUGAGAGGCCCCAGGGACGCGGAAGAUCAACACAGAUCCUGCAUUUCCUGUCCUGGUCUCGGAGAGCUUUACCACUCCUCACUGGAAACUGGUGGGCUGCUGUUUGACACCAGUUCUCUACCAGCCAUGCCCUGAAGCCCCACAAGCACCGGAUGAGGGAAGAUGUCACUGUCACGAUUGUCCCGGCCAUGCCCAUCUCUCACUACACAGUGCUUCAUUUGCUACCAGCUCUUACUGAAGACUUACAGCCCAGUCUGGUUCUGCAACAUGGCACAUCCAACGGCCUACUUGACACUUGUCCCCGGGUGUCCUUCUGCUUCCUCACACUUGGUUAUUAACGAGCGUACUCACUUGCUCCCGUCCACGUCCGAAGCCACCUGUAUUUCCUGACAUGGUGUGAUACCCCCUAACCGAGUCAGAAGCUUGGGUGAUCCUGACAUCUUCACCUCACACGCUUCCUCAAGUGGUCUGUGAGCUGCAUCCAUUCCCUCUCCUCCUCAGCCCCUCCCCAGCCCUUCUCCUCCACCACAGACUUGGUUUAGAUCUGCCCGCCACUGGCCUGGCUCAUGCACGUGACACCAGAUCCCUUGCUGAUCCACCUCCGCCUCCUUCCAGCCUGCCUACUCCGGACAGCAAGAGCUGCUUCCCACAACACACAUCUGCGUUACCCCUUAGUGACUGGCCAUCUCUAACUACCACAUGAAGCCCCACGUUCCCAUCCUAGCCUCUCAGUCCUCCAGCAUUGCCAUCCCUAUUUCUUCUUCCUCUGCCCCGAGACAGGGCUUCUCUAUGUAGCCCUGGCUGUCCUGGGUCUCACUCUGUAGA